RNAcentral lists this ribosomal RNA (515 nucleotides) under uncultured bacterium. RNAcentral's name for it is "bacterial SSU rRNA". It matches the Rfam family "Bacterial small subunit ribosomal RNA", at positions 994 to 1509 of the family's 1533-position model. The record is from RNAcentral.
AACUUUCCAGAGAUGGAUUGGUGCCUUCGGGAACUGUGAGACAGGUGCUGCAUGGCUGUCGUCAGCUCGUGUUGUGAAAUGUUGGGUUAAGUCCCGCAACGAGCGCAACCCUUAUCCUUUGUUGCCAGCGGUCCGGCCGGGAACUCAAAGGAGACUGCCAGUGAUAAACUGGAGGAAGGUGGGGAUGACGUCAAGUCAUCAUGGCCCUUACGACCAGGGCUACACACGUGCUACAAUGGCGCAUACAAAGAGAAGCGACCUCGCGAGAGCAAGCGGACCUCAUAAAGUGCGUCGUAGUCCGGAUUGGAGUCUGCAACUCGACUCCAUGAAGUCGGAAUCGCUAGUAAUCGUGGAUCAGAAUGCCACGGUGAAUACGUUCCCGGGCCUUGUACACACCGCCCGUCACACCAUGGGAGUGGGUUGCAAAAGAAGUAGGUAGCUUAACCUUCGGGAGGGCGCUUACCACUUUGUGAUUCAUGACUGGGGUGAAGUCGUAACAAGGUAGGCGUAGCGAG